Molecule: long non-coding RNA, 700 nt
Filed under: Equus caballus (horse)
Lineage: Eukaryota; Metazoa; Chordata; Mammalia; Perissodactyla; Equidae
Description: lncRNA (ENSECAG00000057158.1)
Source: RNAcentral
AUGAAAAGUCAUGAAAUCACAUCUGGAGUCGAAGGAGAAGGGAGCUAGAAAUAGCGUGUAGCCGGACCUAGCUCCAAUUCUGUAACUGGGGUAGAAAUUUUGCAAAGUGACCUCCACCACAGCAUGAGAAGGAAUUAAAGCCUGUUUUCCUACCUGUCUCUAAGGCCCUUUGCACUUGGAUUAUUCAUUGAUAAACCAAAUCAUGCCAAAGGCUGGACCCAAUGAGAGAAGGAAAAAAAAAAAGGCAUUUGCUUUGUGCUUACCAGCAGCAUGGUCAAUAUCUGAAGAAGAGGCUGAUGAACUUGCUUGAGCUACAUCCUAGGUUGUGAGUCAGGGCUGGUGCCCUUGAACUCCUCUUCCCAGCCCAGGCACCAGGGCCUAGCAAGGUAUUGCUAACAAAGGGAAGGAUUGUCUUAACAUGUGCUGUCCUAUUUUGAAUGGAGCAAAGAGGUCCAAAUAGAAUUCUGCUUUGUCAUAAAGAUGUUUUACAGGAGGCUAACAUAAAUAGUAAAAUAUGCUUCAGCAAGACAUCUGUUGAAAAAAUAAUGAGGAGGUGCUCUUCUGAGUAAAGGUACUGUGUAAGUUGUGAUGGCCUCUUUUUAUAGCAAGAAGGCAAAUUCCUGUGUCCUCUGGCUAAUAUAAACUCCAUUCUCCUCAGUCAGAAGGGCAACAUGGCCUCCCAUAGCCUGAAUAGCAGCUG